GGUGGUUCUUGGGUGACGGACCCAGAAUCAGGCUCCCUCCUCUCUGGUUCUGGGUGCAUCACCUGAGAACUGCA
This is a non-coding RNA of Myotis davidii, 74 nucleotides long. The record is from Rfam. Lineage: Eukaryota; Metazoa; Chordata; Mammalia; Chiroptera; Vespertilionidae.